CUCGAUUUUUGACCAUUUCUUGGUUGGGGCACAAUCUCAGUAUUUUCUCCCCAAGUGAUUCAACCCCAAGCCAAUAGCUAUGAGCUGAGCCUCUUUUUCUUGUUGUAAAACUUAGUUGUUAGGUUACUGAGACUUUUUAAGUCCACUCCUUUCUCUAGGUUUAAGUUUGUCAUCAGAACUUGGUUUUUGUCUCUGAAAAUGAUGUCUCACUUGGCCAAGAUUAUACAACGCAUUGCUCUGUAUUGGAAUAGACUGAUCUGGUCGAUCAGGGUUAUAAACCACGUAUGUGUCUUUACUGGUGUUUUGUUCUUUUUUUUCAAAGACCUUAUUUUUUCCUUUUUCUCCCCAAAGCCCCUCCAGUACAUAGUUGUAUAUUCUUCAUUGUGGGUCCUUCUAGUUGUGGCAUGUGGACGGUGCCUCAGCGUGGUUUGAUGAGCAGUGCCAUGUCCGCACCCAGGAUUCGAACCAGCGAAACACUGGGCCGCCUGCAGCGGAGCGCGCAAACUUAACCACUCGGCCACGGGGCCAGCCCCUUUACUGGUGUUUUAUUACCAUUAGUGGAACCACCAGGAUUUCAUUCCCCAUGAGUUGAGUCUGUGUGCUCAGCAACCCCCUGCAGGAUAUGAAGGAAAUUUAUUUCCUUGGAAUACACCCCCGAGUCUUCUUUUUGUUUGGUUGUUGUGACUGACCCCUGGUGCUGAUAAACUGUUGGACCCCCUUUCCAUGUAGUUAUUCUACACUUUCUAUUAACUCAUUAAUUAGAAGCUCACACCCCUUUAUAGACUCCACUUGUUUCAAUUAACCUUCGUAUAUUUUCAUGCUGAAAUCACCCCAUCAUGAUCACUGCCUGAGCUUGACUCACCUGAAAAGUAUCUUCUAAGUAAUUAACCUUGGAAGGUGCCUUGUUUGAAGGCUCCAGCCAAUCCAGGGUUCUUCCCAUCUUCACUCCAACGACGGGCAGUGAGGACAAGGGCAGUCUCGGCCACACAUGCACAGGCUGUUUUGUGAGGAGCAGAGACAGGAUGACGUCUCUCCUUCCUUGGCUGAUUUUGGAACCGUCUGAGAGGCUAGGAGCAAACACAGGUGGGUCCUAAAUCCAGUGACAAGUGUCCUUAUAAGAGACACGCAGAGGAGAGAGAUAAAGCCACGUGAAGACGGAGGCAGAGAUUAGAACGAUGCAGCCACAAGCCAAGGACACCUGGAGUCACCAGAAACCUAACAAGGCAAGGAAGGAGUCUCCUCUAGAGCCUUCAGAGGGCCUGUGGCCCGGACAACACCUUGAUUUUGGACUUCUGGUCUCCAGAACGGUGAAAGACUAAAUUUCUGUUGUUUUCAGCCACCAAGUCUGUAGUAAUUUGCUACAGCAGCUUCAGGAAACUAACACAACAUGUAAAAUAGUUUCAAAAUUGCUAACCGGACCCUUAGGAGAAACAAAUUUACCAACUAGAGCACAAUGUUUGUAUAUAGUUCUUUUUGUCUGCCCCACAGUGUCCAGUUAAAAUACUGUUUUUCUAAGCUACUUAGGUCAACUCCACUGUAUGUACGCUUUUUUUGGUCUGACUUCUUCCAUUCAGCAUGAUUUUGCUAUUCACUGUUGUUGAGUGUGUCAAAAAUGUGUUCCCUUUUAUUGCCGAAUAGUGUUCCAUUACAUGGAUAGACCACAUUUGUUGAUCCAGACGUGGUGCUAAUAGACAGAUUCGGGGGUUUUCAAGUUUUUGGUUGUUACAAAUAAAGCUGCUGAGAACAUUCUUAUGGAAGUCUUUGUGUAGCCACAUAUUUUAAAUUCUAUUGGAUAAAUACCUAGGAGUAGAAGAGCUGGGUCAUGUGGUAGGUGUAUGCUUACAUUUUUAAGAAACUGCCAAG
Molecule: long non-coding RNA, 1863 nt
Organism: Equus caballus (horse)
Lineage: Eukaryota; Metazoa; Chordata; Mammalia; Perissodactyla; Equidae
Source: Ensembl